GUCUACGACCAUGCCACCCUGAACAAGUCUAAUCCUGUCUGAUCUUGGGAGCUAAGCAGGGUCGGGCCUGGUUAGUAUUUGGAUGGGAGACCACCAAGGAAGACCAGGGGUGCUGUCGGCA
This is a ribosomal RNA of Pteropus vampyrus (large flying fox), 121 nucleotides long. Lineage: Eukaryota; Metazoa; Chordata; Mammalia; Chiroptera; Pteropodidae. The record is from Ensembl.